RNAcentral lists this ribosomal RNA (517 nucleotides) under uncultured bacterium. Its description in RNAcentral is "bacterial SSU rRNA". It matches the Rfam family "Bacterial small subunit ribosomal RNA", at positions 30 to 526 of the family's 1533-position model. The record is from RNAcentral.
AUUGAACGCUGGCGGCAGGCCUAACACAUGCAAGUCGAGCGGUAACACAGAGAGCUUGCUCCUUCGACGUUAGCGGCGGACGGGUGAGUAACACGUGGGCAACCUACCUUAUAGUUUGGGAUAACUCCGGGAAACCGGGGCUAAUACCGAAUAAUCUGUUUCACCUCAUGGUGAAACAUUGAAAGACGGUUUCGGCUGUCGCUAUAGGAUGGGCCCGCGGCGCAUUAGCUAGUUGGUGAGGUAACGGCUCACCAAGGCGACGAUGCGUAGCCGACCUGAGAGGGUGAUCGGCCACACUGGGACUGAGACACGGCCCAGACUCCUACGGGAGGCAGCAGUAGGGAAUCUUCCACAAUGGGCGAAAGCCUGAUGGAGCAACGCCGCGUGAGUGAAGAAGGAUUUCGGUUCGUAAAACUCUGUUGUAAGGGAAGAACAAGUACAGUAGUAACUGGCUGUACCUUGACGGUACCUUAUUAGAAAGCCACGGCUAACUACGUGCCAGCAGCCGCGGUAAUAC